UCGUCUGCGGUCUCCUCUAGACCUUACCACUAUAUUUUAUAGUGCACGUAUAAAUCUCUACAGUUACUACUAAAUACUCUUGGUAUAACAACUUUUUUUUUACUUUUUUCCAAACUUAACUAAGUACCAUUCAAGUUUUUUUAUUUUAUUAAAUUUAUAUUCAGCCGAUUAACAUAAUAUGUUAAAAUUUCACGACACCUACAAAAUGAGUUUUUUUUUGGAACGAUUUUUUUUUUUUUACUAUGAAAAUUGUACAGAAACUAAUUCAACAAGCACACAGAAAGGUUCGUUAAAAUGUUGGACGCAGUACCCCUCAGAUGAUGCAUGAGUGAGAUAAACGGUUAAUGUCUUGGGAUAUCACUGUUAAACGCUUUGGUGCCGGAAGUGAUUCUAUCAACAAGUAGGGGCGGAUGGACCUCUGACCUAUUGUUUUACUGAAUAGAACAUAAUCACGGUAUCACUACCAGUUCAAUCGUUUUGUUAUAUACAUACAUUUUGCCAGUUUUUUUUUCAAAAAUUAGAUCUGCCUUCCCGAUUUCGAGUUUUACAGAUGAGACCUUAUCAAAACAUGGGACAGUAGACGUUCUCCAGGCCAGCUCGACCGAUACAAGGUUAUUAAGACAUUAUAUCGAUAGUUGUGCAACAAAACGUUUUUUUUUUUUUUUUACUGACAAACUACUGUGUUGAUCUCACUGUAUUUGAAUGCGAAGGAAAUUCUAAUUAAAUAUUACCAUUGAAAUAAAAACAUUGAAGCUUUAUUUAACAUUUACGUCUAAAUAAAAAGGUCAAAAUGUUUUAUCAAUCCUCGUCCUUGCUGGUCGCACCUCAGGCUAUAUUUAUCAACCUUCUUGACUACCGGCCAUUAACUCUCCGGAGGCAAUAGCAUCAUAAGAUUCUCGUCCGAGGGAAAAUUUAAACGGUCAUAAAUUAUCCGGAAGGCGUUUACUAACAGCCGCUGAUGGUGUUGCCGCUACGCACAACAGCUAUUGCUACUACAGACUACUACUAUACAAUACUACUGACCUAUACCAUAAUAUUCUCUACUUCAUAAACAUAUAGGUGUCUUUCAAGAGUCGCGAUUCAACCGGUUGCAGGCUGACUCCAGGAGGUAUUAUUUUUUUGAGCAUUUCUCAAACCAGCACAUUGUUCGUGAUUUGUUAUUAUUUAUUUUUCGACAUCGGCGAUGAAAGAAAAUCCAUUUGGAGAGCAGAAAGAGUGUGUGCUGCUUAGGGGUCGGCUAUUGCAUAAUAUCUGUUGAGAGGGAGAAUAUGUCCGCACCCUCACGUCGCACAGACAAAAAAUCAUUAUUCGAUGAUACCGUGCUUACUUGUAAGACUUAGCCGAACAUUAGUAUAGAAACAGAUUUGCCCACGUUAAGUCCGCAUGGGGUCGUUUUUUUUUCUCUUAUAAGACCAAAAGGAGAAUUUAUUCUGUGCGCUGGGACGGUCUCUCUCUCAUGAGCAGAUCUUUUUAUCAUAAAUACGGGUACGUGUAACAGUAUAUUAUUAUGUUAUUAUUAUUGCUCUCAAAUAUCCAAAAAGGUAAUCAGGGUGGAACACUGGCCUGCAGAGUUUAGACGUGCGUGGUCACACGAUAGGCACCCGACUCUGUCGGCACUCGCAUAAGACAAUUGUUAACAAUUAUUAUAGAUCGAAGAUUUAUUUAAGUGACCAUUUAAAAAAUGUGUGCAUUUGGAAAUAUUGAUAAUA
Molecule: long non-coding RNA, 1709 nt
Organism: Adelges cooleyi (spruce gall adelgid)
Lineage: Eukaryota; Metazoa; Arthropoda; Insecta; Hemiptera; Adelgidae
Exons: 3
Source: RefSeq, a predicted model, not a curated record